Molecule: ribosomal RNA, 253 nt
Filed under: uncultured bacterium
Lineage: Bacteria
Description: partial 16S ribosomal RNA
Rfam family: Bacterial small subunit ribosomal RNA
Source: RNAcentral
UACGAAGGGGGCUAGCGUUGCUUGGAAUCACUGGGCGUAAAGGGUGCGUAGGCGGGUCUUUAAGUCAGGGGUGAAAUCCUGGAGCUCAACUCCAGAACUGCCUUUGAUACUGAAGAUCUUGAGUUCGGGAGAGGUGAGUGGAACUGCGAGUGUAGAGGUGAAAUUCGUAGAUAUUCGCAAGAACACCAGUGGCGAAGGCGGCUCACUGGCCCGAUACUGACGCUGAUGCACGAAAGCGUGGGGAGCAAACAGG